GCGUGCCUAAUACGUGCAAGUCGAACGAGUUCUGAUUAUUGAAGGGUGCUUGCAUCUUGAUUUAAUUUUGAACGAGUGGCGGACGGGUGAGUAACACGUGGGUAACCUGCCCUUAAGUGGGGGAUAACAUUUGGAAACAGAUGCUAAUACCGCAUAAAUCCAAGAACCGCAUGGUUCUUGGCUGAAAGAUGGCGUAAGCUAUCGCUUUUGGAUGGACCCGCGGCGUAUUAGCUAGUUGGUGAGGUAACGGCUUACCAAGGCAAUGAUACGUAGCCGAACUGAGAGGUUGAUCGGCCACACUGGGACUGAGACACGGCCCAAACUCCUACGGGAGUCAGCAGUAGGGAAUCUUCCACAAUGGACGCAAGUCUGAUGGAGCAACGCCGCGUGAGUGAAGAAGGCUUUCGGGUCGUAAAACUCUGUUGUUGGAGAAGAAUGGUCGGCAGAGUAACUGUUGUCGGCGUGACGGUAUCCAACCAGAAAGCCACGGCUAACUACGUGCCAGCAGCCGCGGUAAUACGUAGGUGGCAAGCGUUAUCCGGAUUUAUUGGGCGUAAAGCGAGCGCAGGCGGUUUUUUAAGUCUGAUGUGAAAGCCCUCGGCUUAACCGAGGAAGUGCAUCGGAAACUGGGAAACU
Molecule: ribosomal RNA, 636 nt
Filed under: Lacticaseibacillus rhamnosus
Lineage: Bacteria; Bacillati; Bacillota; Bacilli; Lactobacillales; Lactobacillaceae
Description: bacterial SSU rRNA
Rfam family: Bacterial small subunit ribosomal RNA
Source: RNAcentral